CGUGUAGGCGGCUGUGCAAGUCUGAGGUGAAAUCCCUCGGCUCAACCGAGGAACUGCCUCCGAUACUGCAUGGCUAGAGUCCCGGAGAGGGUAGCGGAAUUCCCAGUGUAGCGGUGAAAUGCGUAGAUACUGGGAGGAACACCCGUGGCGAAGGCGGCUGCCUGGACGGGAACUGACGCUGAGACGCGAAAGCUAGGGGAGCAAACA
This 207-nucleotide ribosomal RNA is filed under the name uncultured bacterium. RNAcentral's name for it is "partial 16S ribosomal RNA". It matches the Rfam family "Bacterial small subunit ribosomal RNA", at positions 568 to 774 of the family's 1533-position model. The record is from RNAcentral.